This 267-nucleotide ribosomal RNA is filed under the name uncultured prokaryote. RNAcentral describes it as "partial 16S ribosomal RNA". It matches the Rfam family "Bacterial small subunit ribosomal RNA", at positions 524 to 792 of the family's 1533-position model. The record is from RNAcentral.
UACGUAGGGGCGAGCGUUAUCCGGGAUUAUUGGGCGUAAAGAGUGCGUAGGUGGUCUUGUAAGCGUGGGUGAAAGACAGUGGCUUAACCAUUGUAAGCCUUGCGAACUGUGAGACUUGAGUGCAGGAGAGGAAAGUGGAAUUCCUAGUGUAGCGGUGAAAUGCGUAGAUAUUAGGAGGAACAUCAGUGGCGAAGGCGACUUUCUGGACUGUAACUGACACUGAGGCACGAAAGCGUGGGGAGGCAAACAGGAUUAGAUACCCUGGUA